GGCAGUCGAACGGUGAUGGCCAGCUUGCUGGUCUGAUCAGUGGCGAACGGGUGAGUAACACGUGAGCAACCUGCCCUUCACUCUGGGAUAACCACGGGAAACGGUGGCUAAUACCGGAUAUGAGACGUACACGCAUGUGUCGCGUCUGGAAAGAUUUAUCGGUGAAGGAUGGGCUCGCGGCCUAUCAGCUUGUUGGUGGGGUAGUGGCCCACCAAGGCGACGACGGGUAGCCGGCCUGAGAGGGCGACCGGCCACACUGGGACUGAGACACGGCCCAGACUCCUACGGGAGGCAGCAGUGGGGAAUAUUGCACAAUGGGCGCAAGCCUGAUGCAGCGACGCCGCGUGAGGGAUGACGGCCUUCGGGUUGUAAACCUCUUUCAGCAGGGAAGAAGCGCAAGUGACGGUACCUGCAGAAGAAGCGCCGGCUAACUACGUGCCAGCAGCCGCGGUAAUACGUAGGGCGCAAGCGUUGUCCGGAAUUAUUGGGCGUAAAGAGCUCGUAGGCGGUUUGUCGCGUCUGCUGUGAAAACCUAAGGCUCAACCUUGGGCUUGCAGUGGGUACGGGCAGACUAGAGUGCGGUAGGGGUGACUGGAAUUCCUGGUGUAGCGGUGGAAUGCGCAGAUAUCAGGANGAACACCGAUGGCGAANGCAGGUCACUGGGCCGCAACUGACGCUGANGAGCGAAAGCAUGGGGAGCGAACAGGAUUAGAUACCCUGGUAGUCCAUGCCGUAAACGUUGGGCACUANGUGUGGGGCUCAUUCCACGAGUUNCGUGCCGCAGCAAACGCAUUNAGUGCCCCGCCUGGGGAGUACNGCCGCNAGGNUAAAACUCAAAGAAAUUGACGGGGGNCCGCACAAGCGGCGGANCAUGCNGAUUAAUUCNAUGCAACGCGAAGAA
RNAcentral lists this ribosomal RNA (901 nucleotides) under Cellulomonas sp. URHD0024. RNAcentral describes it as "bacterial SSU rRNA". It matches the Rfam family "Bacterial small subunit ribosomal RNA", at positions 57 to 968 of the family's 1533-position model. Lineage: Bacteria; Bacillati; Actinomycetota; Actinomycetes; Micrococcales; Cellulomonadaceae. The record is from RNAcentral.